AUUGAACGCUGGCGGCAUGCUUUACACAUGCAAGUCGAGCGGCAGCGCGUCCCCGUAAGGGGAUGGCGGCGAGCGGCGAACGGGUGAGUAAUGCAUCGGAACGUGUCCCGUAGAGGGGGAUAGCCCGGCGAAAGCCGGAUUAAUACCGCAUAUGCUCUACGGAGGAAAGCGGGGGACUCGCAAGGGCCUCGCGCUAUGGGAGCGGCCGAUGUCCGAUUAGCUUGNGGCGGGGUAAUGGCCCACCAAGGCGACGAUCAGUAGCUGGUCUGAGAGGAUGAUCAGCCACACUGGGACUGAGACACGGCCCAGACUCCUACGGGAGGCAGCAGUGGGGAAUUUUGGACAAUGGGGGAAACCCUGAUCCAGCCAUGCCGCGUGAGUGAAGAAGGCCUGG
Molecule: ribosomal RNA, 394 nt
Filed under: uncultured bacterium
Lineage: Bacteria
Description: bacterial SSU rRNA
Rfam family: Bacterial small subunit ribosomal RNA
Source: RNAcentral